GGGCCGGUAGCUCAGUGGGAGAGCGCCCGCCUCGCACGCGGGAGGUCGGGGGUUCAAAUCCCCCCCGGUCCA
Molecule: transfer RNA, 72 nt
Filed under: Thermoprotei archaeon
Lineage: Archaea; Thermoproteati; Thermoproteota; Thermoprotei
Also listed under: 2 other names
Description: tRNA-Ala
Rfam family: tRNA
About the family: Transfer RNA (tRNA) molecules are approximately 80 nucleotides in length.
Source: RNAcentral